UGCUACAGCCAUGCCACCCUGGAUAAGCCUGAUCCCAUCUGAUCUGAGAAGCUAAGCAGGAUCGGGCCUGGUUUGUACUUGGAUGGGAGACCACCUAGGAAGACUGGGUGCUGUAGGCA
This 119-nucleotide ribosomal RNA is filed under the name Pteropus alecto (black flying fox). The record is from RNAcentral. Lineage: Eukaryota; Metazoa; Chordata; Mammalia; Chiroptera; Pteropodidae.